This is a non-coding RNA of Oryza glaberrima (African rice), 208 nucleotides long. The record is from Rfam. NCBI's taxonomy places the organism in Eukaryota, Viridiplantae, Streptophyta, Magnoliopsida, Poales, Poaceae.
AAUAAGUGCAGUUUUGCACUAUUUAUCUCCAACGUUUGACCGUUCGUCUUAUUUGAAAAGUUUUUAUGAUUACUAUUUUUAUUGUUAUUAGAUGAUAAAAUAUAAAUAGUACUUGACAUAUGACUAAUUUUUUAAAAAAAUUUCAUAAAUUUUUCAAAUAAGAUGAACGGUCAAACGUUGGACACGAAUUUCCACGGCUAGACUUAUU